Long non-coding RNA from Oncorhynchus kisutch (coho salmon), 1690 nucleotides. RefSeq lists it as uncharacterized. NCBI's taxonomy places the organism in Eukaryota, Metazoa, Chordata, Actinopteri, Salmoniformes, Salmonidae. The transcript has 3 exons. The record is from RefSeq and is a predicted model, not a curated record.
AUGAGAAUGGGACAGCUGGAUAGGGGAAACGGCUCAAGUCGCAAAAAAAGGAAUAUAACGCUGCAGAAAAUGGAAUGACACAAUUUCAUGUGUACAACAUCUAAAGACCUGGAUCACAACACUGAGUGCUUUGACAUUUCUAAAAGGAUGUAUUUGGGUGUUUUUGGAGCCUUUGUUCAUGUUUUUUCAGGGCCCCCAUACUACACAACGAGGGUGAGGAAGUGAUUUACGGUUUGGGAUUAAAUCCUUAUACCCGUGAUGUCCAGCUACCCAACAACCUUCCCACUCGACCCCAUCCACUCCUCCAGAUGAUCUCUGGAGACCUCCCAUUCUUCACUUCCUUCCUCCCUGACCAUUGGCUCAAGACGGCCAGAGUCGCUUCCCUCCUCAAGAAACCAACACUCGACCCCUCUGACUACAGACCAGUAUCCCUUCUUUCUAUGCUUUCCAAAACACUUGAGCAUGCUGUCUAUGACCAACUUUCUUGUUAUCUCUCUCAGAACGACAUUCUUGACCCUAACCAGUCAAGUUUUAAGACGGCUCACUAAACUGAGACCACUCUCCUCUGUGUUACGGAGGCUCUCUUCUCUGCAAAAGCUGACUCUCUCUCCUCUAUUCUCAUCCUCCUAGAUCUACCCGCAGACAUCAACACUGAACCAUCACAUCCUCUCCACCAUCUCAAGGAUAGACAUCUCAGACUCUGUACACUCCUGGAUUGCAUCCUACCUGGCAGGUCGCUCCUACCAGAAUGACACCUCACAAUAUGGAAGCAGCAGAAGAUUCAACGCUCUUCCAGACGGUUAACGAACAAGGUUACAGUACGUUCUCUAGUGCCUCGACACCGCCAGUGAGGUUCUCUAUACCCCUAUCAGAGGGCCUCCUACCAUGGGUUGUUACAGUGAGCCAGCCCACCACACUACCCAUUCUUCCACCCAGGUCGGGGAUGCCCGACUGUCCCUUCCAGAGAAAUAUGACGGUACUCCAUCGAAAUUCUGUGGCUUUCUACUCCAGUUCUCCCUCUAUUUCGCCUAUCAGACGAGAGCUCCCACCACCGAGAGGUCCAAGGUUGCCAUGGUAAUAUCCCUGCUGGCCAGACGGGCGUUGAAGUGGGCUACGGCCGUCUGGGAGAGAGAAAGAGCUGGGUUCCUAUGAGAGGUUCAUGGCUCUGUUCAGGGCAGUCUUCGACCAUCCUCCAGAGGGCAGAGAGGGAGGUGAGCGACUUUUCCAGCACCGGCAGAGGGCCCAGACUGUUGCGGAGUACGCCCUCACCUUUCAGACUGUGGCAGCCUCCAGCGGAUGGAAUGAGCCGCCACUCCACCCUCUAUUCCGCAGUGGACUGCGCAAGGAGGUACUGACGGAGUUGGCAUGUCGGGAUGACAACAUAUCCUUGGACACUCUCAUCUCGAUGGCCAUUAGUCUGGAUAACCUUCUUCGGGAGCACCGGUGUACACAUCGCCACUCUCCUCCCUCCUAUGGCUGUCCUGGGGCAGAGCCUGAACCCAUGGAGGUAGGGGCCACACACCUCUCCGUGGCAGAGCGGCGUCGCCAGAGACAGCUGGGGCUCUGUUCCUAUUGCAGCCAGGAGGGGCACCAGCUUCAGCGGUGUCCGCUGCGCCCUAACCCAGGCAGCCCCUUGAUUGGGUUUGUUCUUUUGUGUCUGUUCAGUAUUAAACUCACCUUCUGCACCUGC